ACAUAUAACUGAGAAUUGUUGCUAGGAAACACAUAACUCCAAGUUCCAGCUCUAGAAUCCGGAAACAUGGCUUAACACAAUAUCUGACUUUAAGGGAGUUGCUUUCCCAGUGUCUGGGAUUAAGAGAUGAUGUUUGAAUUUCCACUUAGGAAUCAAUCCUCUAUUCAUCACUUGCUCUUCUCACACAGAAAUGAAGACAUAUACACCCAAACCUACAGGAAGUGAGAUGAUGCAGAAAAUCAGGACCCAGAAUAAGCACUUGCCAAUUUCCUCCCAGGUGGCUAUAUGGAAGUUUGUCUCUGGAAAACCAAAUUUUUGGACAUGUCAUCAGUAAAGGCGACUUGGAAACACAGUGACUGUUGUUGGCUCUCAUAUCUGACAUCUGAGGUUGAAUGCAGAUUAGAGGUAUGAUUUAAAUGUACUUUAAAGCACUUGUACUUUUUUAAUGUCCUAUAUAAAUAAUUAGUAACACAUGUCAUCUUAUUUUCAGUUUAAAACUUAAAAUACAGUAUUCUGAAAUUCC
This 523-nucleotide long non-coding RNA is filed under the name Canis lupus familiaris (dog). Its description in RNAcentral is "lncRNA (ENSCAFG00040006074.1)". Lineage: Eukaryota; Metazoa; Chordata; Mammalia; Carnivora; Canidae. The record is from RNAcentral.